UACGGAGGGGGCGAGCGUUACUCGGAUUUACUGGGUGUAAAGGGCACGUAGGCGGUUCAGAAAGCUCCGCUUUAAAUUCUUGCGCUCAACGCGAGAUGGUGGUGGAGGACUGCUGGACUUGAGAAUUGGAGAGGCGAGCGGAAUUCCCGGUGUAAGGGUGACAUCUGUAGAUAUCGGGAGGAACACCAGUGGCGAAAGCGGCUCGCUGGCCAAUUACUGACGCUGAGGUGCGAAAGCUAGGGGAGCAAACAGG
RNAcentral lists this ribosomal RNA (253 nucleotides) under uncultured bacterium. RNAcentral describes it as "partial 16S ribosomal RNA". It matches the Rfam family "Bacterial small subunit ribosomal RNA", at positions 524 to 776 of the family's 1533-position model. The record is from RNAcentral.